Molecule: non-coding RNA, 113 nt
Organism: Arachis ipaensis
Lineage: Eukaryota; Viridiplantae; Streptophyta; Magnoliopsida; Fabales; Fabaceae
Source: RefSeq, a predicted model, not a curated record
UGUGAAUCUAUUCCUGUGUUGCAGAUGUGAAAAUGAAAGUUUAAAUUUUGGCAUAUUAAAUUUAGGAAUAUGUUAGGAUCCAAUAUUUUUACUGAAAAAAAAAACUGAGAAUU